RNAcentral lists this long non-coding RNA (310 nucleotides) under Androctonus crassicauda. Lineage: Eukaryota; Metazoa; Arthropoda; Arachnida; Scorpiones; Buthidae. The record is from RNAcentral.
CUAGUCUUUUUUUUGUAUAGAAUAAUGUUUUCUCGUCCAUAUUUUCAACACGAUGAUCGUGAAGAUAGCCGCCAAAUAAGAAUAAUGGGAAGGAAAAGACAAAAGAACAGAUUUCAAGGAAAAUAUGCAUUCAAAGAUAAAGGUUCACAUGCUCCAGUAGAUGAAGAUGGUGAUACAGAUAUGAGCAGUUUGGAUAGACCUUCCCAUUCUCGCUACAAACCUUAUAAAGCUCGUUCAAGAUUUGGAAAAAGGCAUGGAAGAGGUAAAAAUAUUUUAUAUAAAAUAUUAUUAUUUUAGCACUUUGAAGACC